Molecule: long non-coding RNA, 589 nt
Filed under: Elaeis guineensis (African oil palm)
Lineage: Eukaryota; Viridiplantae; Streptophyta; Magnoliopsida; Arecales; Arecaceae
Description: long non-coding RNA (EGUI_LNC024702)
Source: RNAcentral
UAUCCCUAAGUACGCUAUGGCACCCAAUUCACCCUUAUAUGUCGGUAAUUGAUCAUAGAGAUUGAUUGCUGCAACCUUUUUAUGGCCGAACCUAGUGUUUCUGUGAGGGCCCAUGCAGGCAUGCGUUGAGUCCUAUAUUGGUUAUGCAGCGAGUAGAUCUUAGAUACUUAUACAAAUAUAAGGAAUCCAAAUAACAUCUUUUGGUUAGUAUUUUUGGAUGAGGUAUUAGAUUUUCACAGUUACCAAUGAUGGCCUACAUCAUAUUAUUUUACUCAAUUAGUAUUUUCACUACAGGUAAAUGCAAUGGAUGCAUUGGCAAAGUGGCGACCACUGAGCCUGUGUUCAAAAUGAUGCUCAAGUUCAGAAGAUGUUUUGAUGGAGUUAGGCGCCCUCUUCCGCCAAGUGUCUCACUUGGCACACUCUGGAUGAUUUCCUUCAGGCACUAAAUCAUGGGAAAAUGGAUGAAGGUAAGCAGCUGUCUUACCUUCUCUGCUUUGGUGCCUAUAGCAUCUGGUUCGCAAUCGCCAUAGCUUUGAAGCUGAGCACAUAUCAGCCCAAAGAAUUGUUACAGAUACUAUGAAUGUGUCUC